This 706-nucleotide ribosomal RNA is filed under the name Kryptolebias marmoratus (mangrove rivulus). Its description in RNAcentral is "partial 12S ribosomal RNA". The stretch from base 1 to 481 matches the Rfam family "Bacterial small subunit ribosomal RNA", at positions 860 to 1533 of the family's 1533-position model. Lineage: Eukaryota; Metazoa; Chordata; Actinopteri; Cyprinodontiformes; Rivulidae. The record is from RNAcentral.
AUAAUUAGCCCGCCAGAAGAUUACAAGCAUAAGCUCAAAACUCAAAGGACUUGGCGGCGCUUUAAACCCAUCUAGAGGAGCCUGUCCUAUAACCGAUAAUCCCCGUUAAACCUUACCUUCUCUUGCUCCCAGCCUAUAUACCGCCGUCGUCAGCCCACCCUGUGAAGGCCCACUAGUAGGCAAAACUGGUCCAGCCCAAAACGUCAGGUCGAGGUGUAGCAUAUGAGAAGGAAAGAGAUGGGCUACAUUUCCUACACAGGGAACCACGGAUAGUACAAUGAAAUGUGUACAUUGAAGAAGGAUUUAGCAGUAAGUAAAAAAUAGAGUGUUUUACUGAAACCGGCCCUAAAGCGAGCACACACCGCCCGUCACUCUCUCCUAGUCUACCGCCCCAACCCUACAUAAAAAGCCUUACCAGCAAAGGAGAGACAAGUCGUAACAUGGUAACUGUACUGGAAAGUGCACUUGGAUAAACAGAAUAUAGCUAAAUAAAUAGCAUUUCCCUUACACUGAAGAGUUAUCCGUGCAAUUCGGAUUGUUCUGACACCUAACAGCUAGCUUACCUAUUAAAUUACACCAAACACUAUUAUUACCCCCUAACAUCUUAACAAACAAUAAUUAAAACAUUCUACCCCCUAAGUAUGGGCGACAGAAAAGGACCUUAAAAGCUAUAGAAAAAGUACCGCAAGGGAACGCUGAAAGAAAA